AAAAUAGAGCUUCUAAGACCUUCAGCCCUGCCUUCCUGAAAAACCCUCAUAUUUAGGGAAUUACACAAUUAUCUAUUAUCACCAGAAAUAAGUGUGUGUUUACGAGGGGAGGCAUUUGGGUACAAAACACCAGAUAUUCUCUAGGUCAGUAAAUCUUGAGUCAUAAUUCCGUCCUCUGUUUCCUGUUUUGUUCAAAUUUUAGUUCCCUUAUUUCAGACAGAUUGUGCAACUCAACAUUCAUUUUCAAGAAUGUCUUUGUAUCCAAGCUGAGGAUGUUUUCUCAUCUUUCGUCCUUCUCAGUCAUCAACUGCAUAUAAAAGGAGGGUCCACAAUCAGGACUCCCAGGCAGUAGGCAUCCUACAAACUCUAUUCCUGAAAGUGUUCUUCUCUCAUAUCCAAAGACUAUGGUCUCCUUGGUUGUCUUCUCCAUCCUUAUCAUUUUGGUACCUGGCCUCUGUUCUGAAGAAAAUUAUUAUGACACUCCCCAUGCCUGCUGCUUCCGCUAUUACUCUGGAAAAAUCCGAAAUGUGGUUGCUUGUUAUGAGACCAGCAGCCAAUGCCCCAAGCCAGGAGUCAUAGUCAUCACCAAGAUGGGACACCAGUUCUGUGUCCACCCAAGAAAUGCCAAAAAUUGUGGCACUUCCCUAAAACCAAAGGAAAUCCUCCAAUCCUAGGGAGGACGGUCCCUGGACAACAGACAACAUCACCCUGUGAAGAUAUCAUCCCUUAUCUAGGGAACUUAUGAUUUCUAAAAAUAAACGUGAUGGACUUCAUAGGAUUCA
This 782-nucleotide long non-coding RNA is filed under the name Monodelphis domestica (gray short-tailed opossum). RNAcentral describes it as "lncRNA (ENSMODG00000036943.1)". The record is from RNAcentral. Lineage: Eukaryota; Metazoa; Chordata; Mammalia; Didelphimorphia; Didelphidae.